Molecule: ribosomal RNA, 550 nt
Filed under: uncultured bacterium
Lineage: Bacteria
Description: bacterial SSU rRNA
Rfam family: Bacterial small subunit ribosomal RNA
Source: RNAcentral
UAGGGAAUCUUCGGCAAUGGACGGAAGUCUGACCGAGCAACGCCGCGUGAGUGAAGAAGGUUUUCGGAUCGUAAAGCUCUGUUGUAAGAGAAGAACGAGUGUGAGAGUGGAAAGUUCACACUGUGACGGUAUCUUACCAGAAAGGGACGGCUAACUACGUGCCAGCAGCCGCGGUAAUACGUAGGUCCCGAGCGUUAUCCGGAUUUAUUGGGCGUAAAGCGAGCGCAGGCGGUUAGAUAAGUCUGAAGUUAAAGGCUGUGGCUUAACCAUAGUACGCUUUGGAAACUGUUUAACUUGAGCGCAAGAGGGGAGAGUGGAAUUCCAUGUGUAGCGGUGAAAUGCGUAGAUAUAUGGAGGAACACCGGUGGCGAAAGCGGCUCUCUGGCUUGUAACUGACGCUGAGGCUCGAAAGCGUGGGGAGCAAACAGGAUUAGAUACCCUGGUAGUCCACGCCGUAAACGAUGAGUGCUAGGUGUUAGACCCUUUCCGGGGUUUAGUGCCGUAGCUAACGCAUUAAGCACUCCGCCUGGGGAGUACGACCGCAAGGUUG